Molecule: long non-coding RNA, 394 nt
Filed under: Numida meleagris (helmeted guineafowl)
Lineage: Eukaryota; Metazoa; Chordata; Aves; Galliformes; Numididae
Description: lncRNA (ENSNMEG00000001579.1)
Source: RNAcentral
AGAUGAUGUGCCCCACACAUGUGCCCCACACAUGUGCCCCAUAGAUGAUGUGCCCCACACAUGUGCCCCAGAGAUGAUGUGCCCCACACAUGUGCCCCACACAUGUGCCCCAUAGAUGAUGUGCCCCACACAUGUGCCCCAUAGAUGUGCCCCAGAGAUGUGCCCCACACAUGUGCCCCAGAGAUGUGCCCCAUAGAUGUGCCCCAUAGAAGAUGUGCCCCAUGGAUGUGCCCCACACAUGUGCCCCACACGUGCCCCACACAUGUGCCCCAUAGAUACACCCCACACAUGUGCCCCAUAGAUACACCCCACACAUGUGCCCCAUAGAUACAGCCCACACAUGUGCCCCACACAUGUGCCCCAGAGAAGAUGUGCCCCAGAGAUGAUGUGCCCC